AGACCCGAAACCCGGUGAUCUAGCCAUGGGCAGGUUGAAGGUUGGGUAACACUAACUGGAGGACCGAACCGACUAAUGUUGAAAAAUUAGCGGAUGACCUGUGGCUGGGGGUGAAAGGCCAAUCAAACCGGGAGAUAGCUGGUUCUCCCCGAAAGCUAUUUAGGUAGCGCCUCGUGAAUUCAUCUCCGGGGGUAGAGCACUGUUUCGGCUAGGGGGCCAUCCCGGCUUACCAACCCGAUGCAAACUGCGAAUACCGGAGAAUGUUAUCACGGGAGACACACGGCGGGUGCUAACGUCCGUCGUGAAGAGGGAAACAACCCAGACCGCCAGCUAAGGUCCCAAAGUCAUGGUUAAGUGGGAAACGAUGUGGGAAGGCCCAGACAGCCAGGAUGUUGGCUUAGAAGCAGCCAUCAUUUAAAGAAAGCGUAAUAGCUCACUGGUCGAGUCGGCCUGCGCGGAAGAUGUAACGGGGCUAAACCAUGCACCGAAGCUGCGGCAGCGAACGUAUCACCCAAGACAACUUUACGGAGUUGACGAUUGACGGAGCGAAGCGACGUCAAAGCGUUCAUUAAAGUCGAGUUGGCUUAGGGAUACGUUCGUUGGGUAGGGGAGCGUUCUGUAAGCCUGUGAAGGUGUGUCGUGAGGCAUGCUGGAGGUAUCAGAAGUGCGAAUGCUGACAUAAGUAACGAUAAAGCGGGUGAAAAGCCCGCUCGCCGGAAGACCAAGGGUUCCUGUCCAACGUUAAUCGGGGCAGGGUGAGUCGACCCCUAAGGCGAGGCCGAAAGGCGUAGUCGAUGGGAAACGGGUUAAUAUUCCCGUACUUGGUGUUACUGCGAAGGGGGGACGGAGAAGGCUAUGUUGGCCGGGCGACGGUUGUCCCGGUUUAAGCGUGUAGGUGUGUGUUCCAGGUAAAUCCGGUUCACUUUAACACUGAGGCGUGAUGACGAGGCACUACGGUGCUGAAGCAACAAAUGCCCUGCUUCCAGGAAAAGCCUCUAAGCAUCAGGUAACAUCAAAUCGUACCCCAAACCGACACAGGUGGUCAGGUAGAGAAUACCAAGGCGCUUGAGAGAACUCGGGUGAAGGAACUAGGCAAAAUGGUGCCGUAACUUCGGGAGAAGGCACGCUGACACGUAGGUGAAGUGAUUUACUCACGGAGCUGAAGUCAGUCGAAGAUACCAGCUGGCUGCAACUGUUUAUUAAAAACACAGCACUGUGCAAACACGAAAGUGGACGUAUACGGUGUGACGCCUGCCCGGUGCCGGAAGGUUAAUUGAUGGGGUCAGCGCAAGCGAAGCUCCUGAUCGAAGCCCCGGUAAACGGCGGCCGUAACUAUAACGGUCCUAAGGUAGCGAAAUUCCUUGUCGGGUAAGUUCCGACCUGCACGAAUGGCGUAAUGAUGGCCAGGCUGUCUCCACCCGAGACUCAGUGAAAUUGAACUCGCUGUGAAGAUGCAGUGUACCCGCGGCAAGACGGAAAGACCCCGUGAACCUUUACUAUAGCUUGACACUGAACAUUGAGCCUUGAUGUGUAGGAUAGGUGGGAGGCUUUGAAGUGUGGACGCCAGUCUGCAUGGAGCCGACCUUGAAAUACCACCCUUUAAUGUUUGAUGUUCUAACGUGGACCCGUAAUCCGGGUUGCGGACAGUGUCUGGUGGGUAGUUUGACUGGGGCGGUCUCCUCCUAAAGAGUAACGGAGGAGCACGAAGGUUGGCUAAUCCUGGUCGGACAUCAGGAGGUUAGUGCAAUGGCAUAAGCCAGCUUGACUGCGAGCGUGACGGCGCGAGCAGGUGCGAAAGCAGGUCAUAGUGAUCCGGUGGUUCUGAAUGGAAGGGCCAUCGCUCAACGGAUAAAAGGUACUCCGGGGAUAACAGGCUGAUACCGCCCAAGAGUUCAUAUCGACGGCGGUGUUUGGCACCUCGAUGUCGGCUCAUCACAUCCUGGGGCUGAAGUAGGUCCCAAGGGUAUGGCUGUUCGCCAUUUAAAGUGGUACGCGAGCUGGGUUUAGAACGUCGUGAGACAGUUCGGUCCCUAUCUGCCGUGGGCGCUGGAGAACUGAGGGGGGCUGCUCCUAGUACGAGAGGACCGGAGUGGACGCAUCACUGGUGUUCGGGUUGUCAUGCCAAUGGCACUGCCCGGUAGCUAAAUGCGGAAGAGAUAAGUGCUGAAAGCAUCUAAGCACGAAACUUGCCCCGA
This 2195-nucleotide ribosomal RNA is filed under the name Salmonella enterica. RNAcentral describes it as "partial 23S ribosomal RNA". It matches the Rfam family "Bacterial large subunit ribosomal RNA", at positions 711 to 2802 of the family's 2925-position model. The record is from RNAcentral. Lineage: Bacteria; Pseudomonadati; Pseudomonadota; Gammaproteobacteria; Enterobacterales; Enterobacteriaceae. RNAcentral also lists the same sequence under 3 other names.